CCGGUCGGUAGGAACGUACGCCGUCCUACGAGGGACGGAACAAGUAGGUAAGAAANACGAACUGCUAAUACCGCAUGAUACAUUUGAAUCGCAUGGUUUGAAUGUCAAAGAUUUAUCGCUGAAGGAUGGCCUCGCGUCUGAUUAGCUAGUUGGUGGGGUAACGGCCCACCAAGGCGACGAUCAGUAGCCGGACUGAGAGGUUGGCCGGCCACAUUGGGACUGAGAUACGGCCAGACUCCUACGGGAGGCAGCAG
This 254-nucleotide ribosomal RNA is filed under the name uncultured bacterium. RNAcentral describes it as "partial 16S ribosomal RNA". It matches the Rfam family "Bacterial small subunit ribosomal RNA", at positions 133 to 354 of the family's 1533-position model. The record is from RNAcentral.